This 482-nucleotide ribosomal RNA is filed under the name uncultured bacterium. Its description in RNAcentral is "bacterial SSU rRNA". It matches the Rfam family "Bacterial small subunit ribosomal RNA", at positions 28 to 507 of the family's 1533-position model. The record is from RNAcentral.
GAUGAACGCUAGCGGCAGGCUUAAUACAUGCAAGUCGAACGGGAAUUGGGUAGCAAUACCUGAUGAUAGUGGCGCACGGGUGCGUAACGCGUAUGCAACCUACCUUUAACAGGGGGAUAGCCCGGAGAAAUUCGGAUUAAUACCCCAUAGUAUUAUGGAGAGGCAUCUUUUCAUGAUUAAAGUUCCGGCGGUUAAAGAUGGGCAUGCGUGCCAUUAGCUAGUUGGUGAGGUAACGGCUCACCAAGGCGACGAUGGUUAGGGGUCCUGAGAGGGUUAUCCCCCACACUGGUACUGAGACACGGACCAGACUCCUACGGGAGGCAGCAGUAAGGAAUAUUGGUCAAUGGGCGGAAGCCUGAACCAGCCAUGCCGCGUGCAGGAAGACGGCCUUAUGGGUUGUAAACUGCUUUUGUCAGGGAAUAAACCCUCGUUUGCGAACGAGGCUGAAGGUACCUGAAGAAUAAGCAUCGGCUAACUCCGUG